This 497-nucleotide ribosomal RNA is filed under the name uncultured bacterium. Its description in RNAcentral is "partial 16S ribosomal RNA". It matches the Rfam family "Bacterial small subunit ribosomal RNA", at positions 28 to 507 of the family's 1533-position model. The record is from RNAcentral.
GAUGAACCCUGGCGGCGUGCCUAAUACAUGCAAGUCGAGCGAACGGACGAGAAGCUUGCUUCUCUGACGUUAGCGGCGGACGGGUGAGUAACACGUGGAUAACCUACCUAUAAGACUGGGAUAACUUCGGGAAACCGGAGCUAAUACCGGAUAAUAUUUUGAACCGCAUGGUUCAAAAGUGAAAGACGGUCUUGCUGUCACUUAUAGAUGGAUCCGCGCUGCAUUAGCUAGUUGGUAAGGUAACGGCUUACCAAGGCAACGAUGCAUAGCCGACCUGAGAGGGUGAUCGGCCACACUGGAACUGAGACACGGUCCAGACUCCUACGGGAGGCAGCAGUAGGGAAUCUUCCGCAAUGGGCGAAAGCCUGACGGAGCAACGCCGCGUGAGUGAUGAAGGUCUUCGGAUCGUAAAACUCUGUUAUUAGGGAAGAACAUAUGUGUAAGUAACUGUGCACAUCUUGACGGUACCUAAUCAGAAAGCCACGGCUAACUACGUG